This 350-nucleotide ribosomal RNA is filed under the name uncultured bacterium. RNAcentral describes it as "partial 16S ribosomal RNA". It matches the Rfam family "Bacterial small subunit ribosomal RNA", at positions 338 to 705 of the family's 1533-position model. The record is from RNAcentral.
CCUACGGGCGGCUGCAGUGGGGAAUAUUGCACAAUGGGGGGAACCCUGAUGCAGCAAUGCCGCGUGGGUGAAGAAGCACUCCGGUGCGUAAAGCCCUGUCAGCAGGGAAGAAAAUGACAGUACCUGACCAAGAAGCCCCGGCUAACUACGUGCCAGCAGCCGCGGUAAUACGUAGGGGGCAAGCGUUAUCCGGAUUUACUGGGUGUAAAGGGAGCGUAGGCGGUAUGGCAAGUCGGAAGUGAAAGCCCAGGGCCCAACCGUGGGACUGCAUUGGAAACUGCCAGACUAGAGUGCUGGAGAGGUAAGGGGAAUUCGUAGGGUAGCGGUGAAAUGCGUAGAUAUGAGGAGGA